RNAcentral lists this ribosomal RNA (655 nucleotides) under uncultured bacterium. Its description in RNAcentral is "bacterial SSU rRNA". It matches the Rfam family "Bacterial small subunit ribosomal RNA", at positions 110 to 753 of the family's 1533-position model. The record is from RNAcentral.
GUAACACGUAAAGAACCUGCCCUCAGGUCUGGGAUAACCACGAGAAAUCGGGGCUAAUACCGGAUGGGUCAUCGGACCGCAUGGUCCGAGGAUGAAAGGCGCUUCGGCGUCGCCUGGGGAUGGCUUUGCGGUGCAUUAGCUAGUUGGUGGGGUAAUGGCCCACCAAGGCGACGAUGCAUAGCCGACCUGAGAGGGUGAUCGGCCACACUGGGACUGAGACACGGCCCAGACUCCUACGGGAGGCAGCAGUAGGGAAUCUUCCACAAUGGACGAAAGUCUGAUGGAGCAACGCCGCGUGAACGAUGAAGGCCUUCGGGUCGUAAAGUUCUGUUGUAAGGGAAGAACAAGUGCCGCAGGCAAUGGCGGCACCUUGACGGUACCUUGCGAGAAAGCCACGGCUAACUACGUGCCAGCAGCCGCGGUAAUACGUAGGUGGCAAGCGUUGUCCGGAAUUAUUGGGCGUAAAGCGCGCGCAGGCGGCCUCUUAAGUCCGAUGUGAAAGCCCCCGGCUCAACCGGGAAGGGCCAUUGGAAACUGGGAGGCUUGAGUAUAGGAGAGAAGAGUGGAAUUCCACGUGUAGCGGUGAAAUGCGUAGAGAUGUGGAGGAACACCAGUGGCGAAGGCGACUCUUUGGCCUAUAACUGACGCUGAGGCG